Molecule: ribosomal RNA, 453 nt
Filed under: uncultured bacterium
Lineage: Bacteria
Description: bacterial SSU rRNA
Rfam family: Bacterial small subunit ribosomal RNA
Source: RNAcentral
GGCCGCGUCGACGAGAGGAUGAUCAGCCACACCGGGACUGAGACACGGCCCGGACUCCUACGGGAGGCAGCAGUGGGGAAUAUUGGACAAUGGGGGCAACCCUGAUCCAGCCAUGCCGCGUGUGUGAAGAAGGCCUUUUGGUUGUAAAGCACUUUAAGCAGUGAAGAAGACUCCAUGGUUAAUACCCAUGGACGAUGACAUUAGCUGCAGAAUAAGCACCGGCUAACUCUGUGCCAGCAGCCGCGGUAAUACAGAGGGUGCAAGCGUUAAUCGGAAUUACUGGGCGUAAAGCGAGCGUAGGUGGCUUGAUAAGUCAGAUGUGAAAUCCCCGGGCUUAACCUGGGAACUGCAUCUGAUACUGUUAGGCUAGAAUAGGUGAGAGGAAGGUAGAAUUCCAGGUGUAGCGGUGAAAUGCGUAGAGAUCUGGAGGAACAUCGGUGGUCGACGCGGCCG